This 1049-nucleotide long non-coding RNA is filed under the name Oncorhynchus kisutch (coho salmon). Its description in RNAcentral is "lncRNA (ENSOKIG00005038403.1)". Lineage: Eukaryota; Metazoa; Chordata; Actinopteri; Salmoniformes; Salmonidae. The record is from RNAcentral.
CAAAAGAUUGCAAAGUUCAAGGGGGCCGAAUACUUUCGAAAGGCACUGUACAUCACUAAAUAACUUCAUCUUUCUCCCCAGGACGUCUCCUACAGCUCCCAGCAUGCUUCACUCUCUGGCUCGUUACGGACGGUACCUGCCGUGCUGGACCUGGACCAGCGUUACACUGAGAAGCCCCGCCUACCACGGACACCUCAUUGGCCGGCUGGCCAACCCCCACACUCUGAUAGGUCGUGGCAGCACCUACCUUCUCCACGUGGAGAGCUGCCUCGCUGAGCUGACCGCUAAGGCUUUCCUGUUCUCCUGUUCUCCUGACCUUUCAAACUCUAACAUCGGGUAGAGCUCAGAGUUCACCUGGGGGUCAGGCACCCCCCAUCUGCCACAGCCACUCUGACCUCCAGCUUCCAGCCUCCCCAGGGAGGACGAUGACUUCACGCUGACUCAGCGUCGCAGGGACUUUCCUAUGUGGGCGGGGUUUCAGCGGGGAGGAUGACCUCCGGGUGAUGCACUUCCUGUCUGACCUCAUCAAACAGCACCACGCAGGAAGUGGUCCUCCGGCCCUCCGCUUCUCCUACAGUUGCCGUCCCCUUUACAUAGAAACACCACAACAUAGAUAUGGCCCUGUCACUUUACAUAGAAACACCACAACAUAGAUAUGCAGCCCCUGUCCCUUUACAUAGAAAUACCACAACAUAGAUAAGCCCUGUCACUUUACAUAGAAACACCACACAUAGAUAUGCAGCCCUGUCCCUUACAUAGAAAUACCACAACAUAGAUACAGUCCUGUCACUUUACAUAGAAAUAUCACAACAUAGAUAUACAGCCCUGUCCCUUUACAUAGAAAUACCACAACAUAGAUAUACAAGCCCUGCCCCUUUGCAUAACUAAAGCAUUUCUUCCAUACUGUAUCCUGUCUACACUGUGAAAGGAAGGAUCCAGAGUGCAUCUCUAAUGCUACCCUGUUCCCUAUAUAGUGCACUACCCUGUUCCCUAUAUAGUGCACUACUUACUAGUAGUGUACUAUGUAGGGAAUAGUGAGCUGUUUGGGA